Chinchilla lanigera (long-tailed chinchilla) is the source of this 613-nucleotide long non-coding RNA. RefSeq lists it as uncharacterized. Lineage: Eukaryota; Metazoa; Chordata; Mammalia; Rodentia; Chinchillidae. The transcript is spliced from 3 exons. The record is from RefSeq and is a predicted model, not a curated record.
GGUGAGGGAAGCGGGAAGGGACACCUGCAUUGCUCCUUGCCCCAAGGGGUUCCCCAGGCUGUGGACAGAGUGGAAAAGGGAGCCUGGCCCCUGCCACCUGUCUCCCAGGAACCAGAGGACGCUGGCAUGGAGGGGUUGUUACCACCGUGCAGAUAAGGAAACUGAGGCCCGCUGACAUUCACAAGGGUCAGAACUCCUCCAAAGUGACCUGGUGCAUCAGGAGCUGAGCAGAACAGGAUAUAAAGAUGGGGGCUGCUGGGGGCCACAGCCCGGCCUGGGAGAGCCAACCCCACUCUGAACUCACACGGCUGGGGUCCUGGGUGGCCCGGCAGAGUCUCCUCACCCCGUCCUAGAAACUGAGGCCGUCAGACAGGACUCUCCCCAGUGCACCAGACCUACACAUGGCUGUCCCUGCCUCCAGUUCCCACUGCAGCUCUUCCAGUCUCCUGUCCUGGGACGCCGCCUCCUGUCUUCUCCUUCCUGUCACUCUGUGAUACCCAAAGUACCUCCCCUCACACAGUCUACUAAAAUCUUCCCUAACCAGGUGUCGUGGUGCCCACCUAUAAUCCCGGCACUCUGGGAGGCGGAGGAAGGAGGAUCAAUAAUUCCAGCC